Molecule: ribosomal RNA, 487 nt
Filed under: uncultured bacterium
Lineage: Bacteria
Description: partial 16S ribosomal RNA
Rfam family: Bacterial small subunit ribosomal RNA
Source: RNAcentral
GAUGAACGCUAGCGGAAGGCAUAAUACAUGCAAGUCGAACGGAUGUAGCAAUACAUUAGUGGCGCACGGGUGCGUAACGCGUAUGCAACCUACCUUCAUCAGGGGGAUAACUACCCGAAAGGGUGGCUAACACCGCAUAAUACUAUUGAGUGUCAUCCCUUGAUAUUUAAAUCUGAGGAGGAUGAAGAUGGGCAUGCGUCUGAUUAGCUAGUUGGUGUGGUAACGGCGCACCAAGGCGACGAUCAGUAGGGGAACUGAGAGGUUGGUCCACCACACUGGCACUGAGAUACGGGCCAGACUCCUACGGGAGGCAGCAGUAGGGAAUAUUGGUCAAUGGUGGGAACACUGAACCAGCCAUUCCGCGUGCAGGAAGAAGGGUCUCUGACUUGUAAACUGCUUUAGCAAGGGAAGAAAAAGCUCAUGCGUGAGAAAUUGACGGUACCUUGAGAAUAAGCACCGGCUAACUACGUGCCAGCCGCCGCCGUAA